Molecule: small nuclear RNA, 108 nt
Filed under: Homo sapiens (human)
Lineage: Eukaryota; Metazoa; Chordata; Mammalia; Primates; Hominidae
Source: RNAcentral
GUGCUCACUUCAGCAGCACAUAUACUAAAAUUGGAAUGAUACAGAGAAGAUUAGCAUAGCCCCUUUUUAAAAAAAAAAUAUAUAUAUAUAUAAAUUUUGAUGGCUUUA